CGGCCUGAGAGGGUGAACGGCCACAUUGGGACUGAGACACGGCCCAAACUCCUACGGGAGGCAGCAG
This 67-nucleotide ribosomal RNA is filed under the name uncultured bacterium. Its description in RNAcentral is "partial 16S ribosomal RNA". It matches the Rfam family "Bacterial small subunit ribosomal RNA", at positions 288 to 354 of the family's 1533-position model. The record is from RNAcentral.